Molecule: long non-coding RNA, 1744 nt
Filed under: Rattus norvegicus (Norway rat)
Lineage: Eukaryota; Metazoa; Chordata; Mammalia; Rodentia; Muridae
Description: long non-coding RNA NONRATT001616
Source: RNAcentral
GAUGCAAAUGAUUAAACAGUUUUUAAACAGACAUUCCUACUUGAACUGUGAGGAACCAAGCGGAGUGCAAGUGUCAUUAGGCCUUGCCUUCUGGUGGGCAUGCUGAUGCGUGAUCGUGUAUGGGGAUAGUCAGCUUUGUAUUUUUGCUGUAUUUUGUUCUAGGAGAGUAGCAGAGUGUACACUAGACUAGAUCACAUCACUGUUUCUGAGCUGGAGACAAAAAAGUGAGGUGUCUAAGUAUUCCAAAUAUUUAUACUGCUAUGAAAACUAAGAGGAAGACUUUUCAAAAGUACAGAAAUGGCUUUUUCUAAACUCGAGUGUUUGUGUGCUAGUUAAUUGCUUAAUUUAAAAACAUUAUAAAAUUGGGGGACUUUCACUGAAGAAAAAGAUCUCAGAUACUAUAUUCUACUAUCAGAAUUCACCAUGGGUGAUAGUUUACAUUGCUUGUAGAUUUUCCUAAAAGCAUUCAGUGGGCUGUAGUUAACAUUGGACACGGUAGUGUAAUCAUGGUACACUGUAAUAUCCCAGACAUUAAAUAUUAGUGUGGCUAGCUGUUUCACUGGAAACAACUGUCCUCAUUGAUAGAUACCACUUUGCCAGGAAUGACAGUCUGUAUUGAAAUUCCCUUAGCUCUUAAGAAUAGCAAUCCAGAGUUUUAAAAGGAUUAAAUCUCUAAAUUCUUUACAGUUAAAAGUGUGUAUCUUGGAGGGGAAUAAGAAAAACUUUUGUAAAAAGGUAUGUGCAAAGUACACUUGUGGUAUUUUGGGGUUUAGUACCCCAGCUGAAUAAAUUAUGCUAAAUCCUAAGGUUAUCACUUGUACUUUUGGCUAAGAUUAAAUGUAAAUUCUGAGGUUAACAUAUCAUGUAUUGUCUAUAGCUGGGUGCUCAGUGGAAAUGUAAUGUGAGCCCCAAGGGUAUUAUUAUUUUCUAAGAGCAAUCUAAUUAACUUUUAAUAAUAUAUCUUAUUUAACCUAAUCUUUUAAAACACUCUUUCAACAAUAAUCAAUGUAACAAAAUUAAGGAGCCAUCUCUCUCCUUUUUCCUUUUAGAUUAGUCUUCACAAUUCACUGUGUGGCUUGCAGUCCUGCCGCCCUCCACUGCAGCCAUGUUCCAUGCUCUCAGGCUCCACAUGUGGCUAGGGCAGCAGCGCAGAUUCAUAGGGCACAAAGUAUGGAUCUGUUUAAAUUUGGGCGUGACAAAUAGACAUGAAAUUUCGGUCCUUUAAGGAUUAUUUAGAAAGAAAUCUAAUGAAGUUUUCCUUCAUUUUAAGUUAACUUUGCUCUAGAAAUGUGGGUCAACCUGAUCCAGUUUGCCAAGCAUUAUUUGAAGAAGAAAUCCUGUGCCAUGUAUAAUACCACUGGGACUGUCACAGAGUACUGACAGUGCACUAGUGGCAGUCCUCCAUCUUCACUAACGUCUGUCCUGUUUCUUCAGAAUGCUAGCUUGAGUUGCACACUUACUGUCCCUGUUUGUUUCCAUUAUUCUUGUUCUAGAAUGAUGUAUAUUGAGCAGCAGCUCUAGGUUUCUAAUCUGUGCAGCUGUCUGCCAGGACAUAGUGGUGCACCUAUUAAAUUGUGAUGAACGGCACAGAAAUAGGUUGAACCAUUUCUUUUCCCAUUAGACUUGUUUUUUUUUAACAUGUGGCCAUGUACCAAACCAGCUGUAAAUUACUGUACUUCUGUAGAAUAUGGAAACGGUGUUGUCUUUGAUGAUGUCUGAGUAAACAUUACCUCUCCUAAAACAA